RNAcentral lists this long non-coding RNA (970 nucleotides) under Phoenix dactylifera (date palm). RNAcentral describes it as "long non-coding RNA (PDAC_LNC016609)". The record is from RNAcentral. Lineage: Eukaryota; Viridiplantae; Streptophyta; Magnoliopsida; Arecales; Arecaceae.
CACCAACGGUCAUAUUGUCAGGCUGCGCUGAGUGUGCAGAACGGCCAGAAAAAGCAGAGUAACGGCUAGUUUCCGUGGGGGUUGACUUAAAUAGCCACAGAAGACUGUAGCAAGGCAGAGAACACAUAUUCCACUCCUAGCAUUCAAGUCUUCAAGCUCUCUAAGUGCUUUUCAACGAAAAAAAGGGAAGAUCUGCAUUUACUGCUCCACCAACAUCUUCCCAGCAUUCAAAGCUUCCUCCUCCUGCUUUCAAGUCGAUCACUUUUUCAAGAGGAGACCGGAGUUCCAGAAGCCACACCUCUUCACCAUCUUAAAAGCGUUUGAGGGCUUCUAACUUAUAUUGUUUUAAAUCUACUUUUUGAGAAGCUAUUUUCUGUUUUCUUCUAUCUCGUGUAUUUACUUGAUUCAAUCGGGGGAUUGAAUCAAGGAGAUUAAGGUUGGUUGGUGAGCCGGUUUAAAACCAACGAGUGUAAGGGUUUGAUUGUGAGCCUAGGAAAACAAUCGGGGUUGGUUCUAGUCGGUGAGCCUGGGAAAACCGACCGAGUUCGUUGUGAGCUCGUAAAACAACAAGUUCGGUUGUGAGCUUGCAAAACAACCGGCUGUAAUCCAAGGGGGUUAUAGUGAAAUUCCCAAGUGAGACUUGGGAAGUGGAUGUAGGAGCAAGGGUUAGCUCCGAACCACUAUAAAACUUUGUGUUUGUAGUGCAUUGUCUCUCAUCUUCUUCCCCACACAUUACUCACAGCACUUAGCUUUAAUUAAAUAACUGGCUAUAGUAUUUCGUUAAUCAUCCACAAAGUUUUAAUUAGCUAAGUUAAGUUAAAAACCCAAUUCACCCCCCCCUCUUGGGUUGUCUAUCUGGGCAACAAUAUGUAAAUUUUUCAACCAAGGGUUUGUAUUUUUCAAGUUCUUUAGUUAGUGUUUGUUUUUCUGCUUUUAGAUCAUUUAGUUCUUUUGUGAGACUCUCAUUUAU